ACGGGGCGCAGCAGGCGCGAAACCUUUACAAUGCGGGCAACCGUGAUAAGGGAACCUCGGGUGCCUGUAAACGCAGGCUGUUCAGGUGUUUAAAACGCACCUGGAGAAAGGGCCGGGCAAGACCGGUGCCAGCCGCCGCGGUAAUACCGGCGGCUCGAGUGGUGGCCGCUUUUAUUGGGCUUAAGGCGUUCGUAGCUGGGUUGUUAAGUCUCUUGGGAAAUCUGGCGGCUUAACCGUCAGGCGUCUAAGGGAUACUGGCAAUCUUGGAACCGGGAGAGGUGAGGGGUACUUCGGGGGUAGGGGUGAAAUCCUGUAAUCCUCGAGGGACCACCUGUGGCGAAGGCGCCUCACCAGAACGGCUUCGACAGUGAGGGACGAAAGCUGGGGGAGCAAACCGGAUUAGAUACCCGGGUAGUCCCAGCCGUAAACGAUGCGCGUUAGGUGUAUCGGUGACCACGAGUUACCGAGGUGCCGAAGGGAAACCGUGAAACGCGCCGCCUGGGAAGUACGGUCGCAAGGCUGAAACUUAAAGGAAUUGGCGGGGGAGCACA
Molecule: ribosomal RNA, 551 nt
Filed under: uncultured archaeon
Lineage: Archaea
Description: bacterial SSU rRNA
Rfam family: Archaeal small subunit ribosomal RNA
Source: RNAcentral